UCUCUCUCUUCCUUCUCUCUCUUUGAGCAAAAAGGAACAAGAUCGAUUGUAGGUCCUUCUGGAUUUAGAACUGAUGGACAGAUCGAUAGUAGGUCCUUUUGGAUUAAUUAUGUUUCCCCACUCUCUACUCCAUCGGCAAUUCCUCUGGUCUACCCUAGAUUGAUAGCCAUUCACGAACUCGAUACAGAGGAGAAUGACGAUUCUCUUAUUCCUCCUCCUAUUCCACUUUCCAGUAUUUUGCUUGGCCGGAGAAAGCCGUCUUCGGCGAACUUUUUUCUUUUUUUUGCUAUUUAGUCACAUUCAAUGAUAAAAAAAUAUUGUAUUCUGUACAAAUACACUCAAAUACAUUGUAUUUUCUUAUAAAUACAUUAUUUUUUCGCCUGUAUUUAUGUAUUCUGAAGAUCUGUAUUUUAUUAAUACAGCCGAAUAUCACUGUGUUUUGUGA
Nicotiana attenuata is the source of this 445-nucleotide long non-coding RNA. RefSeq lists it as uncharacterized. Lineage: Eukaryota; Viridiplantae; Streptophyta; Magnoliopsida; Solanales; Solanaceae. The record is from RefSeq and is a predicted model, not a curated record. The transcript has 2 exons.